RNAcentral lists this ribosomal RNA (492 nucleotides) under uncultured bacterium. RNAcentral describes it as "partial 16S ribosomal RNA". It matches the Rfam family "Bacterial small subunit ribosomal RNA", at positions 29 to 507 of the family's 1533-position model. The record is from RNAcentral.
AGUGAACGCUGGCGGUAGGCCUAACACAUGCAAGUCGAACGGCAGCACAGUAAGAGCUUGCUCUUACGGGUGGCGAGUGGCGGACGGGUGAGGAAUACAUCGGAAUCUACUUUUUCGUGGGGGAUAACGUAGGGAAACUUACGCUAAUACCGCAUACGACCUACGGGUGAAAGCAGGGGAUCUUCGGACCUUGCGCGAUUGAAUGAGCCGAUGUCGGAUUAGCUAGUUGGCGGGGUAAAGGCCCACCAAGGCGACGAUCCGUAGCUGGUCUGAGAGGAUGAUCAGCCACACUGGAACUGAGACACGGUCCAGACUCCUACGGGAGGCAGCAGUGGGGAAUAUUGGACAAUGGGCGCAAGCCUGAUCCAGCCAUACCGCGUGGGUGAAGAAGGCCUUCGGGUUGUAAAGCCCUUUUGUUGGGAAAGGAAAGCAGCAGGUUAAUACCCCGCUGUUCUGACGGUACCCAAAGAAUAGGCACCGGCUAACUUCGUG